UACGGGGGGAGCAAGCGUUGUUCGGAUUUACUGGGCGUAAAGGGCGCGUAGGCGGUCAGUGCAAGUCAGUUGUGAAAUCUCCGGGCUUAACUCGGAACGGCCAAGUGAUACUGUCGCGCUAGAGUGCGGAAGGGGCAAUCAGAAUUCUUGGUGUAGCGGUGAAAUGCGUAGAUAUCAAGAGGAAUACCUGAGGUGAAGACGGGUUGCUAGGCCGACACUGACGCUGAGUGCGCGAAGGCCAGGGGAGCAAACGGG
Molecule: ribosomal RNA, 255 nt
Filed under: uncultured prokaryote
Description: partial 16S ribosomal RNA
Rfam family: Bacterial small subunit ribosomal RNA
Source: RNAcentral